UGGCUUGAGUAGGUUCUGACCUCUGA
Molecule: non-coding RNA, 26 nt
Filed under: Mus musculus (house mouse)
Lineage: Eukaryota; Metazoa; Chordata; Mammalia; Rodentia; Muridae
Source: RNAcentral